GACGAACGCUGGCGGCGUGCUUAACACAUGCAAGUCGAACGGAAAGGCCCUGCUUUUGUGGGGUGCUCGAGUGGCGAACGGGUGAGUAACACGUGAGUAACCUGCCCUUGACUUUGGGAUAACUUCAGGAAACUGGGGCUAAUACCGGAUAGGAGCUCCUGCUGCAUGGUGGUGGUUGGAAAGUUUCGGCGGUUGGGGAUGGACUCGCGGCUUAUCAGCUUGUUGGUGGGGUAGUGGCUUACCAAGGCUUUGACGGGUAGCCGGCCUGAGAGGGUGACCGGCCACAUUGGGACUGAGCUACGGCCCAGACUCCUACGGGAGGCAGCAGUGGGGAAUAUUGCACAAUGGGCGGAAGCCUGAUGCAGCAACGCCGCGUGCGGGAUGACGGCCUUCGGGUUGUAAACCGCUUUCGCCUGUGACGAAGCGUGAGUGACGGUAAUGGGUAAAGAAGCACCGGCUAACUACGUG
RNAcentral lists this ribosomal RNA (468 nucleotides) under uncultured bacterium. RNAcentral's name for it is "partial 16S ribosomal RNA". It matches the Rfam family "Bacterial small subunit ribosomal RNA", at positions 28 to 507 of the family's 1533-position model. The record is from RNAcentral.